AUUGAACGCUGGCGGCAGGCUUAACACAUGCAAGUCGAGCGGGGAGAUGUAGCUUGCUACAUUUCCUAGCGGCGGACGGGUGAGUAAUGCCUAGGAAUCUGCCUAUUAGUGGGGGACAACAUUCCGAAAGGAAUGCUAAUACCGCAUACGCCCUACGGGGGAACGCAGGGGAUCUUCGGACCUUGCGCUAAUAGAUGUGCCUAAGUAAGAUUAGCUAGUUGGUGGGGUAAAGGCCUACCAAGGCGACGAUCUGUAGCGGGUCUGAGAGGAUGAUCCGCCACACUGGGACUGAGACACGGCCCAGACUCCUACGGGAGGCAGCAGUGGGGAAUAUUGGACAAUGGGCGAAAGCCUGAUCCAGCCAUGCCGCGUGUGUGAAGAAGGCCUUUUGGUUGUAAAGCACUUUAAGCGAGGAGGAGGCUACUUGGAUUAAUACUCUAGGAUAGUGGACGUUACUCGCAGAAUAAGCACCAGCUAACUCUGUGCCAGCCGCCGCAGUAA
Molecule: ribosomal RNA, 501 nt
Filed under: uncultured bacterium
Lineage: Bacteria
Description: partial 16S ribosomal RNA
Rfam family: Bacterial small subunit ribosomal RNA
Source: RNAcentral